RNAcentral lists this long non-coding RNA (6304 nucleotides) under Solanum tuberosum (potato). Its description in RNAcentral is "long non-coding RNA (STUB_LNC006770)". Lineage: Eukaryota; Viridiplantae; Streptophyta; Magnoliopsida; Solanales; Solanaceae. The record is from RNAcentral.
GGAGUAUUUAAUUAAUUAUUGUCCACACAAAUUGAGGAACUAACAUCCACAUUUCAAUUCAUGAGUGUUUCACUUCCCUUUCCUUGUUCCAUUUUCAGACUCAUGAUGUUCUAACCUGAAAUAAUAUCAUCAACAAUAAUGUUUUUAGAAGAUGAAAAAGAACCUUAACAAGAAAAAUGAAGUUCAACGCUCACUUCUCAUCACAUAGUUUCACCAAUACUCUUCUUCAGGUAAGAAACUUUAUAUAUAUAUAUUAUCUGGUUCUUUAAAUUAUGAUUAUUUAUGCCGUAGAUUUAUUAUUCUUCCACGCUAGGGUCAUUUAGUAGAAGGUAUUAGAAAAAAUAAUACAUAUAUUAUUAGUUUUGAUAUAUUAUUUAUUAAUCCCUUAUUUGGUUAGGGUAAUAUUCUUAUUCUAAUACACUCAUAACAAAUCAAACCGUCAAUAAAAAAUAAUACUAAAAUUAUACACCCUACAAAAACCCCUUUUAGUAUUUGUGUGUUAAUGUGUUAGUGAUUAGCUACAAGUAAUUAAUCAAGCCUGAAGAACAGAUAAUUUUAAUUUCUUACAAGUAGAGUUAGUAAUCUGAACAGAAACAAGAGACAUUAUUUGUUUAUAAUGGGUUAAAAUACACUAAUAUUUUUUAAAAAAAAUUAUACUAUGAUAUUCCUUGAUAAAAAUUUUUAGCUUCUCAAUAGAGAAAAAGAUAGCGACGCAAGCUUUCUGUUCGCCAGUAAAAUCAUACUCUCUGCUUAAUUUAUGUGACACGUUUUAUUUUUUAUUCUAGUAAAGAUUGUUACUUUUCUACUACGUAUUAAAAAUAACUUAAUUUUAAUAAAAACAAUUUAUAAAAUAAAAUAUCUUAAAUUUUUUUAACACGUUUUUUUUCCUUAAAUUUUAUGUCAAAUCAGUCGGUAUCACUAUACAAAUAUUAGGUCAUUGGUGAUAGUACAAGAAUUAAUUAUGAGUAAUUAAUGUAGGUUAAUGAUAUGAUGAGAAGUCAUAAUACGAGGUUACACCUUUCGACUAUUGAUUGGCUAACGGCCGUGGAAUUCUCCAUUUGUACUAAUAAGAUAUGACAUGUAGGGACAUACAAUUUUAUCUUCUCCAUGUCUUUUAUUUUUCCUUUUAUCGUGUUUGUAUAUUUUCAAAUAAUAGAAACUUCAAAAUUCCUAAUAAUAGUUUCAAAUAUAUAAAGUAUAUAUUACUAUUCAAUUUAUCUAUCUUACUUUUUAAAAUUUUAUGCAAAAUAUUGAUGACUAGUUUUUAAAAAAAAUUGAAGGUAGAAAAAAGAAAUUACAAGGUCGAGAAUCAAACUUUCAUAAACAAGGUAAAUACUUAAAGUCAAUCAAUUAAAUUACUAAAAAUUUUACGUGUUCAAAACUAUCACACAAGAUUUAAGCAUUUUAAUACAUAAUAUGCAUGUUUAAUUUAAAAUUUUAAGAUUCUAAAGUCUAUACUAUAUUCUUAAAUGAUGUGUUUAGUCAAACUACGACACAUAAAAAUUAAUGUAAUGAAGGGGGACUUUAGAAAAAAGUUUUUAAAGAUAUAUAUAUAAAAUGUGGACAGAAGUGCUCCAUGAAAGAAACAAUGAAGAGGAAAAAGAGGAUAAAAACAUAGAGAGAUAUUGGUGGCCCCUUUAGGGCUUGAGGGUAUGUGUGGUGCUUCAUUUUUGGGGUUUUGUUUUGUUUGUUUGUUUUGUUUAGGCUAAUAGAAUGUGUGAUGAAUAGUUCCAAAUCAGUUAGCACUACCUUUUACCAUUGUGGAAUGGGCAUAAAAGAUGUGAAUGGGGGACUUAAAGGUACACACCACAGGAAUAACUCUUUUUUGUUCAUUCAUUAUACAGAAAGUGACACUAUUUUUGUUCUCUAACGUAGCUGAGGCCUCAUUUAUUUACACAUAAUAGAGAUUUUGAAUGAUAGAAGUUUUAGAAUCUUUAUAUUGAGAAUUAAGUAUUUCCUAAACAAAACUUUUACACAGAUCAUUAAAAGAUAUUUUUGUGUGAAUAAUUUUCACAUGCACAAUCAUCAACCACCUAGUUAAUCACAUUCAACAUCACAAUUACCAAUACAUCAUUGACCACUAUACAUAAUAUAGUCAAUACUACUAACAUUAGCUACUAAUUACAAUCACUACUAUCACUACCACGUACCAAUUGUCAUUAAUCACACAUCAUUACAACGAGCAUCAAUCAUCACCACCACCGUUGCUACGGACCAUCUUUAUCAUCACUAGCAAACAUAAUAUUUAUUUAUUUUAAUUAAAUUUUUAUAUUUUUUCUUAUAUUUAAUUUCUUUUUUUAUUUGAAUUGUGUAUUUAUUAUAUUUAAAAAUAAAUAAAUUUUGUAAUUUCAUUGAGAAACAUAAUUAAACAAUUAAACAUAUACGCUUUGUAGUCCCAAAAGAUUGGACAAUAUAUAGUCAAUAAGCUCUUUUAAUAUAAACACUUGCAUAUAUUUAUUUAAUACAUAGAAAAACAUCUCUAUAAUAAUAUUUCAUUAUAAUGAUAAAAUUCUCUUAAAAACAUACUUUUGAUAUUACAUUAUACUCUAUAUCUUUCUUAACAACAUUUUGUUAUGACAGUAAAAAAGAUAUUCGGAAAAUAACAAUAUUAUUACUAGAAAGGUUUGACGGUAUAUUUUACUUUGCAUAAUAAAGUCAAUACAGAAUUUAAUCAAUAUACAUGUUUACUGAAAUAAAUAAACAAAUCUUUAUUAGAUGCAUGUUUAAAGAGCUCUUUUUGGAAAAAGUUUCGUUCCGAAAAUUUCGGCCAACUUAAUUUGUUUGACUACAAAGGAAAAAAUAAACUGUCACACCUUACGUAGCCUGAAAUUCAGCCGGCCAUAUUUUGGACUGCUUUUAUGUGUUCAAUUCAUUUAUCAUAUUUAGAACUCAUUUAGAAUCCGUUUGGAUUGAUUUAAAAAAAAUUAUUUUUAAGUCAAAAAUAUAAAAUUAAACGUAAAUAACUUUUAAGUCGAAAAAUAAAAAGUAAGGGAGAUUUACUUUUGAUUUUUGACUUAUUUCAAGUCAUUUUUUUACCUUACCAAAUACUUCAUAACUUAUUUUAAGUCAUUUUUAAUUUGUUUUAAGUUAUUUUUUUAUUUUUGUCAAACACUUUCAGAAGUCAAAAAUUGAUUUAAAAGUAGGUUUGACCAACUUUUAAAUCAAUUCAAACACACUCUCUUAGUACGAGGGAUAAAGAAAAUAACUUAUUCCAAAAUAAACUUUAGAAUAAGUUCAUCUUUUUUGAGAUAAAAUUACGAAAUAACUUAUUUUGAUAUUAGUUAUUGCAAGAUUAUAGAACUAUUUUUAAAUAUAUUAAAGGUAAAAAAACAAUUUUGAAAUAAUUAUUUUUGAAAAAUUUAAUUUCUGAUAAACUUAUUUCCCAAUCAAACGAGUCAUUACAAUUUCUUUCUGCAGUACUAAUAUUGUGCCAUUGUUGUUGAGCGAUUUGGCUUGACAACUAUCAUAUCUAAUUCACCAUACAACAAAAGAACAAAGAAAAGAAGGGAACAUUAAACUUAUAAUCUCCAAAAAUAUAAACAUCCAAGACUGAGACAUUCAGUCUUCGAAAAAUAUUAUGGAAGAUAUAUAUUUUUAUAAAUGAUCAAUUUCAUAUCUAUCAAUUAUAUUAUUAACUAACGAAAAAAGUUUACCUUUGUCAUAUCUAGUUGAAAUGAUCCUUUUUUUUCUCCUUUUCUAUAGGGAAAAAAUAGUUGAGGACAUUCCUUUUUUUUCACCUUUUCUAUAGGGAAAAAAUAGUUGAAGACAUUAGUUUAGUUAAGAAAUCAGGUACCUAAUUAGCUUCUCUAAAAUGAAAUAAUGUGAUAUAAACAAUCUCAAUAAUAAUAAUUAGAGUGCAGAUCAAGAUUGAACCUGCUGAACACAGAGAAUUUCGUAAUUGAAAAGAAUAAAGACUACUUUCUUCGUUUCAAAAUAAAUGGUGUUUUUAGCUUGAACAUAUUGAUUCUUAGAGAAACUACUCAUUUGUAUAAGAUAAAGAGUAGUUUUACUACUUACCCCUAAUUAAAUGCCUUGAAGAAUAAGUGAUUCUAUAAUGAUGUACAAUUCCAUGUAUUAAAACAAGAGUAAUUUUAUAAGAAUAAAAUCAAUUCCUAUCAAAACAAAAUAAACAGGCCAAAACACCACUUAUUUUGAAACGAAGGAACUACAAUUUUAACCUUCUCCUUUGUAGAAAGUUCAGGAAAUUAUUUGGUUGAGAUUUUUUAAUAGAAAAAUAGUAUUCAAAAUUGAUGUUGAAAAGGAGUAUUUUGAAGUUAAAAUUGUGUUUUUAGUCCUCUUGCUGAAAUGCCUUCCAAAAAGAUUAUUUAUUUCCCCUUAUUGAAACAAGAUGGACAUGAAAACAAAGUUCAAAGUUUUGUAUGUGAAAACUUUAAAUCAUUUGUAAAAUUUUCCAUGUUGUAAUGACAAUAUGAAUUAAUUCAUAUAUAGAUUAUCAAUUGAAAUGAUUAUUAUUAAAAUUCAGUUUCAUUAGUCCCUUACUGUAUACCUCCAAUCUUCUACACCAAUAAACAUUCUUAUCAAAACAAAUUACUUGUAAUUAAGUGUUACUUAUGAGACUUCUUGGAAAUAUAUGUUUUUUCAUCAGAACUUUUGGUUCUGCCACUGUGUACUGCAUGUCUUGGGAAUGUUCAAAAUUAUUAUUAAAACACACAAAGACCAAGUUGAGUAACAUCCAUAUAUACUAGUGAUAUUCCAAUUACAAAGUACUUAUGAACUUUCUCACACAAAAUAAUGUACAUCUUCCCCUAUUUUAUAUAAUGUCACAUCUCUAAUGUUUUUUUUAUUAGAAUGAUGAGAAAUAACACAACUAACAUAAUAUACAUCACAAUAAAUGUAUAAAAGACUUGAGAGAAGAUACAAAACAUUUUGAAAAUCAAUUUAAGUUUACCAAUUAUAUGGGUGUGAAUAUAUAAUUAUCUAUUUUGAAUGACAUUAAAUACUAUCUCUAACUAGGAAUGGAAUAGACAUAAACUGAAGAUUUUGGCCCUUGUUUUUUUUUAACUUUUGGAUCCAAAAAUAUGUUGAAUUCUUCUGCUCUUUUGCCUUCUUUCUUUAGUUUAGUUUUUUAAUUACAGUUUUAUCUCUACAUAACUUGAGCAAUUUAUAACUCUAAUGAUGAAGAAAUAGUUUACACUUUACAUGUGAUUAUAACCAUAAAAUUGUGAUUAACUAAUUAUCCAGAGAUAAAGUCUUCCAGUUUGUCACACCAUAUUUAUGUUUGGUGUAACAUGUGAAUAUAUUAACUCCUAAACAUGACAUGAUCUUUUAGCCCUACAAAGUUCUAUUAUCAUAUGCCAUAGAACGAAUGGUACCUAUUUGUUUAGAGUACAUAUCCAUCAAAAGACAUAUAAAAGUUAUAUUGCUCGGACUCUUCAAAAAUAUUCACAAACUAUGUGUGUUGCAUACUAAAAAAUAGUACAUUUUUGGAGAAUCCAAACAACAUAGUGUAGACAUGGCAUAAACUUAAUCCAAUCUUUAGGAAAAAAUUAAGACAUAGUAACUAGUUAAUCUCUUAAGGCAAACAAGCUAAGUAAAAGUUUAACACUUUUGUUUAAACUAUUUGUCGAGCUUCAAAGAGGAUUACAUAAUCCAAAUAACUAAAUCAACUGUGAUUACUUUUAAACUACCAUUCAAAGAGUAUAAUUAAGAGAGAGUAGAGGGUUAAUUACAUGGCUUAAUAACAACAUGAAGUAUCCUUCGUUGAGUGCCUUACAAAACUCAGGAGAUUUGGAUCGUCUACCAACAGCUGCAAAGGCAUACACAUAACUAAAAUCACAAAAUUAGUGUUAGCAGCUAGUAUGUAUCGUCUAUCAAUAGCUGCAAAGGCAUAAUUUAACUCACAAAAUAGUGUUAGUAAUUGAGCAAUCUAACAACACUUUCAGAUCUAAUCGACAAAAUUGCCAAGCAAGAAAUAACAUCAAAAGUAGUCAUACAAAUUCGAAAACCUAUCUUCUUCUUUCGCACAGAUUUGUGUACGAAAAAAAGAAAAAACGAAAGAGGGCGAAGGUGAUGACAGAAGCAUAGAGAGCACAAAUGAAGUGAGAUGCUUUUGCUGAAUGAAAUUAGCAUAUCAUCAUUAGUGCUCUCUAUCUUCUGUCAACAAUUAUCACCAACCUUUCUUCCUAUCAAUUUCAAUUAUAUAACCUAAAAAUCAAAUACAAAGAACAAAAUAAGAUUUUUUUGGGUUUGGGGGAAGAGAAAGGGUGUUAGGGCUAUAUUUGGGGCUAGAAGAAAUAUUAUAUAGAUAGAUAUUUGGGGGUGGGUUUAACCUAUUGAGUUGUAG